RNAcentral lists this ribosomal RNA (460 nucleotides) under uncultured bacterium. Its description in RNAcentral is "partial 16S ribosomal RNA". It matches the Rfam family "Bacterial small subunit ribosomal RNA", at positions 338 to 795 of the family's 1533-position model. The record is from RNAcentral.
CCUACUGGCGGCAGCAGUGAGGAAUAUUGGUCAAUGGACGCAAGUCUGAACCAGCCAUGCCGCGUGCAGGAAGACGGCUCUAUGAGUUGUAAACUGCUUUUGUACGAGGGUAAAUCCCGGUACGUGUAUCGGGUUGAAAGUAUCGUAAGAAUAAGGAUCGGCUAACUCCGUGCCAGCAGCCGCGGUAAUACGGAGGAGUCAAGCGUUAUCCGGAUUUAUUGGGUUUAAAGGGUGCGUAGGCGGUUCGAUAAGUUAGAGGUGUAAUCCCGGGGCUCAACUCCGGCACUGCCUCUGAUACUGUCGGGCUAGAGUUUAGUUGCGGUAGGCGGAAUGUAUGGUGUAGCAGUGAAAUGCAUAGAGAUCAUACAGAACACCAGUGGCGAAGGCGGCUUACUGGACUGUAACUGACGUUGAGGCUCGAAAGCGUGGGGAGCAAACAGGAUUAGAUACCCCAGUAGUC